AUAGAGAAACAUUGUUAAAAGGACAGAGCUCAUAACAAUGGCUGACAGAGAGUUAAGAUGGAGGUGCCCAGUUGCAGAAUAAACACGUGUGUAUUUCUAUAUUUAAUUUUACCUGGAACGGUAAAAACCAAGAUACAGAGUUACUUUCCAUAGUUACGUACAGAGUUAUAUAUUUUCUAAAUCUUUAAAUUCAACUACAUUAAUCAAAUCUGCCCAAUUUAAUAGCGU
Non-coding RNA from Pelobates cultripes (western spadefoot toad), 228 nucleotides. The record is from the annotation of a GenBank genome assembly. Lineage: Eukaryota; Metazoa; Chordata; Amphibia; Anura; Pelobatidae.